This 253-nucleotide ribosomal RNA is filed under the name uncultured bacterium. RNAcentral describes it as "partial 16S ribosomal RNA". It matches the Rfam family "Bacterial small subunit ribosomal RNA", at positions 524 to 776 of the family's 1533-position model. The record is from RNAcentral.
UACGUAGGGGGCAAGCGUUGUCCGGAAUCAUUGGGCGUAAAGCGCGUGUAGGCGGCUCGGUAAGUCUGCUGUGAAAGUCCAGGGCUCAACCCUGGGAUGCCGGUGGAUACUGUCGAGCUCGAGUCCGGAAGAGGCGAGUGGAAUUCCUGGUGUAGCGGUGAAAUGCGCAGAUAUCAGGAGGAACACCAAUGGCGAAGGCAACUCGCUGGGACGUGACUGACGCUGAGACGCGAAAGCGUGGGGAGCAAACAGA